UACGGGGGGGGCAAGCGUUGUUCGGAAUUACUGGGCGUAAAGGGCUCGUAGGUGGCCAACUAAGUCAGACGUGAAAUCCCUCGGCUUAACCGGGGAACUGCGUCUGAUACUGGAUGGCUUGAGUUUGGGAGAGGGACGCGGAAUUCCAGGUGUAGCGGUGAAAUGCGUAGAUAUCUGGAGGAACACCUGUGGUGUAGACGGCUUACUGGACCAUGACUGACGCUGAGGCACGAAAGCGUGGGGAGCAAACAGG
RNAcentral lists this ribosomal RNA (253 nucleotides) under uncultured bacterium. RNAcentral describes it as "partial 16S ribosomal RNA". It matches the Rfam family "Bacterial small subunit ribosomal RNA", at positions 524 to 776 of the family's 1533-position model. The record is from RNAcentral.